Molecule: ribosomal RNA, 445 nt
Filed under: uncultured bacterium
Lineage: Bacteria
Description: partial 16S ribosomal RNA
Rfam family: Bacterial small subunit ribosomal RNA
Source: RNAcentral
GUAAGGAAUAUUGGACAAUGGGCGCAAGCCUGAUCCAGCCAUGCCGCGUGCAGGAAGACGCAUCUAUGGUGUGUAAACUGCUUUUGUACGGGAAGAAACACUCCCUCGUGAGGGAGCUUGACGGUACCGUAAGAAUAAGGAUCGGCUAACUCCGUGCCAGCAGCCGCGGUAAUACGGAGGAUCCAAGCGUUAUCCGGAAUCAUUGGGUUUAAAGGGUCCGUAGGCGGUUUAAUAAGUCAGUGGUGAAAGCCCAUCGCUCAACGAUGGAACGGCCAUUGAUACUGUUAGACUUGAAUUACAAGGAAGUAACUAGAAUAUGUAGUGUAGCGGUGAAAUGCUUAGAUAUUACAUGGAAUACCAAUUGCGAAGGCAGGUUACUACUUGUGGAUUGACGCUGAUGGACGAAAGCGUGGGGAGCGAACAGGAUUAGAAACCCGUGUAGUCC